AUGACCAGGUUGGAAGAGACCUUCAAGGUCAUCGAGUCCAACCCAGCCCCAACCCCUCACCCAAACCCUGGCACCCAGAGCCACAUCCAGGCUUUGUUAAACACACCCAGGGAUGGGGAUCCACCACCUCCUGGGCAGAACAUUCCAGAACUUCCAUCCAGCAGCACACAGGGAAACCUGGGACCUGCCAGGCUGGCUCCUCCUGCCCCAGUGACAGCAGGGGACAAUGAUCCUCCUGGCUGUCCUGGCCUUGUCACCUCCUCCUGUCCCAGUGCCCCUCAAAAGGAACCCCCAAAGCUUCACUGGGGCCCAGGUUGUGCCCCAGUCCCACAGCUCCUCCUGUCCAGCUGCUGGACAGCCUUGGCACCUGAGGCCACCCCCAGAGGAAAAUGGUGAUUCAUGCCAGGGAAGGGAGCAAACCCCACAGGACACGGGUCACUGGGAUGUGUCACCUGCCCCGUCUCCAUGUUCUCACCUCAUCAGCUGUCCAAAAAUCAGAACUUUCCUCCAUUCUCCAAAGUUUCCCUGAGAAAGAGUAAGACCAAAAUGUCCUUAUUGCCAAGGACACCUCUGUCCCCUCUUCUUUUGUCCCUUCUCUGAGAUCACUGAACCAGCACGGAGCUGGGAAAGGAAGAAAAACUCCAAUUUCUGAUGUGUUUUGGCCCUUCCUACAAGGACAAAGCUGGAAACAGCCAGGAAACCACCGAGUCCUCUGCAAAAAAGGAAGUUGAUGGGCAAAGGCUGUGCCAGACAAACUCCUGCUGCUGUUCCUGCUGGAUGUACCUGCCCAACAAAUCCUGGAGAGCCAGGGAAAGUCACCUUCACUGAUUUACUGGAAUUUGUGUGCUCAGGGCAAGGCGUGGAGCCUCAGGAUGUGACAAACUGGGAAUUGUCAGGCUGGAGGAGCAAGGAGCCAACAUUAUCCCAUGGAAAUCUGUCCAACAUUGGUUGAGGCCCUGCAAAAGCCACCUGGGAGAUUCUGCUCUGCCUCCAUUCCACCUUUUUGCUGGAAAAUUAACCAGCAGAGACAAAGCAGCCCAAAAUGAGAGAGACAAGGAGAAGAAGGGCACACAUGGUGCAGGGCCCAGCCAAACCUCCACCCCCUCCAGGUGUCCAGCGGGAUGAAAAACAGGAUUAUGGAAAACACGGGAGGAAAAGCAGCUGCUCCUGUCCAUCCCUGCUGUCACAGCUUCCCCUGGCAGCCCCAGCCAGGCCAGCAGGGAACCAGACCAAGAGCAGCUCUUUGAUG
This 1249-nucleotide long non-coding RNA is filed under the name Taeniopygia guttata (zebra finch). RNAcentral describes it as "lncRNA (ENSTGUG00000024724.1)". Lineage: Eukaryota; Metazoa; Chordata; Aves; Passeriformes; Estrildidae. The record is from RNAcentral.